This 253-nucleotide ribosomal RNA is filed under the name uncultured bacterium. RNAcentral describes it as "partial 16S ribosomal RNA". It matches the Rfam family "Bacterial small subunit ribosomal RNA", at positions 524 to 776 of the family's 1533-position model. The record is from RNAcentral.
UACGGGGGGGGCAAGCGUUGUUCGGAAUUACUGGGCGUAAAGGGCUCGUAGGCGGCCAACUAAGUCAGAUGUGAAAUCCCGGGGCUCAACCCCGGAACUGCAUCCGAUACUGCCGUGCUUGAGGGUUGGAGAGGUAGCUGGAAUUAUCGGUGUAGCAGUGAAAUGCGUGGAUAUCGAUAGGAACACUCGUGGCGAAGGCGAGCUACUGGACAACAUCUGACGCUGAGGCUCGAAGGCUAGGGGAGCAAAAGGG